This 75-nucleotide non-coding RNA is filed under the name Fibrobacter succinogenes. RNAcentral describes it as "Fibro-purF RNA". It matches the Rfam family "Fibro-purF RNA". Lineage: Bacteria; Pseudomonadati; Fibrobacterota; Fibrobacteria; Fibrobacterales; Fibrobacteraceae. The record is from RNAcentral.
GUCCGUUUCCCUGCUUGCACCCGAAUGGGUGGGCUACGACCCCUGAGGUAGGGGAAACAAUCAUUCAGAAGAGGC